GAUGAACGCUAGCGGCAGGCUUAACACAUGCAAGUCGAGGGGCAUUCAGGAAGAAAGCUUGCUUUCUUUGCUUGGCGACCGGCGCACGGGUGAGUAACACGUAUCCAACCUGCCCUUUACUCGGGGAUAGCCUUUCGAAAGAACGAUUAAUACCCGAUGGCAUAAUGAUUCCGCAUGGUUUCAUUAUUAAAGGAUUCCGGUAAAGGAUAGGGGAUUGCGUUCCAUUAGGUUG
This 232-nucleotide ribosomal RNA is filed under the name uncultured bacterium. RNAcentral's name for it is "partial 16S ribosomal RNA". It matches the Rfam family "Bacterial small subunit ribosomal RNA", at positions 28 to 248 of the family's 1533-position model. The record is from RNAcentral.